AAGGUUGUCUUCAGAAUCUUUUAAUAGUUCUUAAGUGAUUUGCUUAUUUCUGCCAGAUUUAUCGACAGAAUUGGAGCUUGCCUUCUCUCUCACCAAGCAGAUCCUUGCAGACCUAGGAUGGUGAAAAUUUUCUGAUGGCACCCUGAAGGUUGCCAGGCUUCAUCACUUGUUCACUGCUUCAAGAACAAGUUGAAACCAGGCCGCGAGGCUCUUCAUCACAGUGGUGGAAGAUUGUGCUACACAAACUGUCAAUGGAGCGUGAAAUCCGGCCAGCCAUGCAUUAUGGAUGGGGCAAAGUCCACCUUAUUUUUAGAUUGUGGCUCUUGUGGAGCUGCAGUACAGUGCAUUGUGUGCUAUACUGUAUUAGUUAGGCCAAAUAAAGUGCAAAUUGACUGACAGCACUUUUCACCAAAAUGUAAAUAUUUAAGCAGGC
Molecule: long non-coding RNA, 433 nt
Filed under: Danio rerio (zebrafish)
Lineage: Eukaryota; Metazoa; Chordata; Actinopteri; Cypriniformes; Danionidae
Description: lncRNA (ENSDARG00000117316.1)
Source: RNAcentral